This 71-nucleotide transfer RNA is filed under the name Marmota monax (woodchuck). RNAcentral describes it as "tRNA.Ala". The record is from RNAcentral. Lineage: Eukaryota; Metazoa; Chordata; Mammalia; Rodentia; Sciuridae.
GAGGUUGUGGCUCAGUGGUAGAGCUCUUACCUAGCAUGUGUGAGGCACUGGGUUCUAGUCUCAGCACCACA